This 694-nucleotide ribosomal RNA is filed under the name Rhodotorula mucilaginosa. RNAcentral describes it as "eukaryotic LSU rRNA". It matches the Rfam family "Eukaryotic large subunit ribosomal RNA", at positions 63 to 778 of the family's 3401-position model. The record is from RNAcentral. Lineage: Eukaryota; Fungi; Basidiomycota; Microbotryomycetes; Sporidiobolales; Sporidiobolaceae.
AACUAACAAGGAUUCCCCUAGUAGCGGCGAGCGAAGCGGGAAGAGCUCAAAUUUAUAAUCUGGCACCUUCGGUGUCCGAGUUGUAAUCUCUAGAAAUGUUUUCCGCGUUGGACCGCACACAAGUCUGUUGGAAUACAGCGGCAUAGUGGUGAGACCCCCGUAUAUGGUGCGGACGCCCAGCGCUUUGUGAUACAUUUUCGAAGAGUCGAGUUGUUUGGGAAUGCAGCUCAAAUUGGGUGGUAAAUUCCAUCUAAAGCUAAAUAUUGGCGAGAGACCGAUAGCGAACAAGUACCGUGAGGGAAAGAUGAAAAGCACUUUGGAAAGAGAGUUAACAGUACGUGAAAUUGUUGGAAGGGAAACGCUUGAAGUCAGACUUGCUUGCCGAGCAAUCGGUUUGCAGGCCAGCAUCAGUUUUCCGGGAUGGAUAAUGGUAGAGAGAAGGUAGCAGUUUCGGCUGUGUUAUAGCUCUCUGCUGGAUACAUCUUGGGGGACUGAGGAACGCAGUGUGCCUUUGGCGGGGGUUUCGACCUCUUCACACUUAGGAUGCUGGUGGAAUGGCUUUAAACGACCCGUCUUGAAACACGGACCAAGGAGUCUAACAUGCUUGCGAGUAUUUGGGUGUCAAACCCGGAUGCGUAAUGAAAGUGAAUGGAGGUGGGAACCGCAAGGUGCACCAUCGACCGAUCUGGAUUUU